RNAcentral lists this long non-coding RNA (1034 nucleotides) under Hordeum vulgare. RNAcentral describes it as "long non-coding RNA (HVUL_LNC007104)". The record is from RNAcentral. Lineage: Eukaryota; Viridiplantae; Streptophyta; Magnoliopsida; Poales; Poaceae.
ACCUCUUCCAGAUGUAUAUAAACUUGAGAAUCAAUAGAAAUCAGGACUGUCCAUUACUUUCAUUCAAUCUCGUUUUACUUUAACAUGUUAUCACGCACUUUGCUCUCCAUUAGAGAGAUAGGUCACGACAAAAAAAGAACAGUGAAGAAUAGGGGCAUCAGUCCUCGUCGAUCGAGUAAAUAGAAGACGCGAUCCGAGCCUCCCCGCGCCACCGAUUCCUAGCGCCGCCUCGCCCCCGCCGUCGUCGCGUCUCCGGCAAGACAGGACCCCGCCAUGCCGAUCUCAUCGUCCCUCUCCGCGCGCCUCGCCCCGGUCCCGCACCCAUGCCGCGCCCGCACGGUAGGGCCCUUACGUCUGCCCCAGGCCGAGGCAGACACAGCCGCGACUCACAUCCUCACGACGUGGUCGCGCUCGCGCCAGCGGCCCUCCCUGCAGCGGCCGCCCCGCAACGCGCUCGCCACGAGCUCGUCCGGCCCGUGCGAGCCUGAGAGACACGCUCGCGUCGGCUCCGCCUGCGCCAAGCCUUCACGGCGGCGGCGGCGGUAGCCCGAGUUCCGCUCCCGGUCCCGACUCCACGGCUGCGUCGUCUUGCCGGAAUCGGCAUCAACGGACGACCGGUGCUAACCUUCCAUGGCGGCCGUACCGAAUGAACGCUGCCGCGGUCCUGCUAUCCGCGACCUCUCUGGCGCCCAGCCCGGAGACUCCCUCUUCGACACAUCGCCGUUGAUGCGGCUGAUAUGCUAUGGCGGCUGCCGCCUUUCGCGGGAUUGGGAGACGAUGCUGGCUGGGAUCGCUCCUGGUCGCUCGUCCCUUAUCCGUUCGGCUGACCAGAGCGGUCCUAGAUGGGCUGCCCGUGUGGCUCAUUUGCAUGCGGUGGAGCCAUCAACACCUCCUGCUUAUUCACAAAAUUGUUCUCAUAUUCGAGCUUUUUAGCACAGUUGAUUCCAUUCCUUUUUCAUUCGUCCUCCGAGAUGGCAAUCCCUUACAUACAAAGGUCCUAGACGCAAACGAAUCAAUUUGAUUCUUAUACAUGC